Molecule: small RNA, 125 nt
Filed under: Marmota monax (woodchuck)
Lineage: Eukaryota; Metazoa; Chordata; Mammalia; Rodentia; Sciuridae
Source: RNAcentral
GCCAGGUGUGGAGGCGCACACCUGUAAUCCCAGCAGCUCAGGAGGCUGAGGCAGGAGGAUCAUGAGUCCAAAGCCAGCCUCAGAAAAAGCAAGGCUCUAAGCAACUCAGAGAGACCCUGUCUCUA